UUUUCCAAUCAUGCAUUUUUAGUCCCUAAAGAUUUUUGAGCUUCAUGACUCUUUGCGUUCGGAGAACGCAGAAUAACCAUUCGAUGCGCUGUCCCAGAGUUCGGAGAAAGCAGAGUAUACGAAAACAGAGUCUUCACUUGCAGUCCCAGAAUUAACUUCGCUAAAGAAACUCCCCAACUUCUCCACAUCAAAUUCAGUAGCAUGUGAAGUAAGCAAUUCAAUUUGAGCUUCAUGACUCUUUGCGUUCUCAUCAAAUAGACAAAUACCUUUGCCUCGUGCUCUUUAGUUUCCUCUCUUAACCAGAAAAAAGAAGGAAGUCUUUACCUUUUGAAGACAUGCCUCAAAAAUACAUAAAUAAACACUUAGCCCCCUUAAGUUUUCCAUCCACUCCUCCUUUAAACGUCCCAAUCACAACCUUGUAAAGUCACCAAACCACAAACACACACAGAGGAAUGCAUAAAGAGGUCGUCUUUCCCCCUUCUCUCUGUAACAAAGCAAAGCACAAUAUAGAUCUGAUAAAAAAAGAGAGAAGAAGCACAACAUAGAUACCAAAACCACAUCAUUAUCAUCAUCAUCACCACCCUCUAAAUCUCUGCUACCAAACCUUCCCGUGAUUAUCGGAGAUAUAUGUCAGCAAUGGACGGAGGAGGAGGAGGAGCAGACGCACAGUAUGUGCGUGCCAAGACAUCAGUUUGGUGGGACAUAGAGAACUGCGCUGUACCGAGAGGCUGUGACCCUCAUGCCAUAGCACGAAACAUAAGCUCAGCUCUUGUCGAGAUGAAUUAUUGUGGUCCUGUCUCUAUUUCUGCUUAUGGUGACACUCAGGGUAUCAAUUCUGCUACUCAACAGGCUCUUUCUAGCACUGGGAUUGGUCUCAAUCAUGUCCCUGCAGGUAUGAUGAUUUUACUUGUCCUUUUGAAGUUUUUGCUUCAUGGGGUGUUUGGUUUUUGGUGUUCUUUUUAUUAGCCAAGAAAGAUCGGAUCCUGGUCACAAUUUAAUUUGGCUUUUCUUUGUGUUGUUUUGAUUGAUUUUGUGAUGGGGUUAUGUAACUGGUGUAAGAGACUGCAUUGACUGAAAUAGUAAAGGGUUUGUCAAGAUUUGCAGUGUUGUAGAGAAUUAUAAAGAAACAAAGAGGAAUUAGCAAUCUUUUGAAUCAUUGGUUGAUGAUUUCUUUUAUUAGAUCUCAACUUUUGUUAUUGAAAGAGGAGAAGUGCAGGUGUUGCAACAUCAGCAGGAUAUGUUCUGGUCUGUAAUGGUUUUUUAAUAUUGAAGUCUUUUUGUGCUGUUUGUGAGUUGAUGUUCAUGAUUUUAUAUGUUCAUGAUGAACAGGUGUUAAAGAUGCAAGUGACAAGAAGAUUCUUGUUGACAUGUUGUUCUGGGCGGUGGACAAUCCUGCGCCAGCAAAUUACUUGUUGAUUUCUGGUGAUCGAGACUUCUCUAACGCUCUUCACCAGUUGAGAAUGAGGAGAUACAAUAUUCUCCUAGCACAGCCCCCGGCAGCAUCCGAAGCCCUUGUUGCGGCUGCGAAGAGUGUAUGGCUUUGGAAGAGUCUCUUGGCUGGAGGACGGCCACUCCCUGAAUUUGAAUUACAACAACUCCGUAGCAAAAACUACACGUCCAGUCCAGGCACGACACAGAUUCCAGUGUCUGGUGCCGCUCAAAUGAAGGAACCAGUAGAUUCCUAUUCUGAGAAACCGUAUGUGGCAAAUCAGAAGUCUCCUUCCACAUCAAGGGGUGCUAGAGGGAGAGCGAACGCAACCCAAAGAAACCCGAGCCAAACAAAUGCAUCAAAAACAACAAACACGCCAUUUUACCCCAGUGCUCCUCCUCCAAUGCCUGCCAGACCCAACGGAACUAGCUAUACCUCUGCACCAUCUACAAGAGUGCCUGCUUUUGAUAGUUUGAACAAUUUUGGACACCCUGCCAGCUCUAGCCCUCAACCACGAAAUCCAGAGCUAAAGCAUGAUCCCAAGAAUAAACCAGACAGUAAAAAAAAUAAGAAAUCAAAAGGUGAAAACUCAAAAGGGUCUGGUGAAGGAAAAGGACCAGAGCUAAGUCAAAACAAGAAGAAUCCAGAGGGUGAAAACUCAAAAGGGUCUGGUGAAGGAAAAGGACCAGAGCUAAAACAUGAUCUCCAAAAGGAACCAGGCAGUUCAAACAAGAAGAAACCAGCGGGUGAAAACUCAAAAGGGUCUGGUGAAGGAAAAGGACCAGAGCUCAAACAUGAUCUCCAGAAGGAACCAGGCAGUUCAAACAAGAAGAAACCAGCGGGUGAAAACUCAAAAGGGUCUUGUGAAGGAAAAGGACCACAUCUAGAACAUGAUCCCCAAAAGAAACCAGAGGGUGAAAACAAGAAGAAACAAGACGGCAAAAACUCAAAAGGGUUUUGUGCAGGAAAAGAACAAGAGCCAAGUCUAAACAAGAAGAAUCCAGAGGGUGAAAACUCAAAAGGAUCUGGUGAAGGAAAAGGACCAGAGCUAAAACAUGAUCCCCAGAAGAAACCACGCAGUCGAAACAGGAAGAAACCACGUAGUGGAAACAGGAAGAAACCAGAGGGUGAAGACUCAAAAGGGUCUGGUGAAGGAAAAGGACCAGAACUAAAAAAUGAUCUCCAGAAGGAACUAGGCAGUUCAAACAAGAAGAAACCAAGGGGUGAAAACUCAAAAGGGUCUUGUGAAGGAGAAGGACCACAGCUAGAACAUGAUCCCGAUAAGAAACCAGAGGGUGAAAACAAGAAGAAACAAGAGGGUGAAAACUCAAGAGGGUCCUGUGAAGGAAAAGGACCAGAGCUAAAGCAUGAUCCCGAUAAGAAACCAGAGGGCGAAAACAAGAAGAAACAAGAGGGUGAAAACUCAAGAGGGUCCUGUGAAGGAAAAGAACCAGAGCUAAAACAUGGUCCCGAUAAGAAACCAGAGGGCGAAAACAAGAAGGUGGCUAGAGCAAGAAAAGGAGUUUCAUUGAAAAAAUCAGUAGUUCUAAGAUCAAAAAGACGUGUUAGCCUAACAAAACUGGACAAGGGAAAGAAAAACCCACCUGCUGCGAUAGUAGAGGGGGAAUGACAGCAAGGUGAAGCUCUUGAUGCUUGCAAUAUAUAGUAUGGCAGGAGCACCAUCCAUGACACAUGGCUAUUUGUGUGCACUGGAUACCCGUGUGCGAGUUCGGUACCAGUUUCUUUUGUCUAGGGGUUUGGGGAGACAGAAGAAGGUAUGGGUAUUUACGGUUUUAUACUCGUGUUUUAAUGGCCAAAAAGAAGGAGCCGGAUUUUCUUUUUUAUUUUAUUUCAUGUUUGGCAUGUAAAAAAUCCAAGUUUCGGUAUCUAUCAUUUUUAUUUUCUAGCAGUUCCUGGCUACUGUGGCGGCCGCUGCUGCGAGUUCAUUCUGAAAUUUCUAUCCCUUUUUUUUCCAUAAUUAAAUCAAAUAUUAAUGAGAGUUUGAGGUUUAAAUUUUAGAGAAGAAAGUGUGUUUUUUAAACAGAAUUCUGUUUUUUUUUUUUUUGCGUACAUUCUCUUAAGAAACAUGUAUUUUUUUUUUUUUAUCAAGAGUGGUUUUUUCUUCACAAAAGAAUGCAAGAUGAUUAAAAUAAAUAUUUUUGAAAGUCUUAAAUUAUUAAAACGAAUCUAAUGAUUUAAAUCCAGUAGAGAAAGUAUUUGUUGAGGUGAAACUCCUGUUUUUUAUUCAUUUUAAAUCCCAAGAACCUGAGGUCGAACAGCAGUUUUUGUGUUUGCUGCAGGUAUUUCAGUUCCAAGCAAGUUUGCCUCCGCCAUCAAGAGUUCGACCACCACCGGACAAAUCAAAGCUAUCCGUUCACACUCAAUUUAAAAGGAACUUUUUAUAAUUCUUAAGAAAGAACAAGUGUAGUCAUUUUCAAUCCACACACAAUUCUAUUAAAUUCCCGUUAUCUUCCUGAUGGGCCAUGGUUUCGUCAUCUAAAAAGACAUUGCACGAAGUCAGAACUUAAAAUAGAGUUAUGUUUUUUUUAUGGCGCCCAAUCUUAGGUUGAGCUAUGAUAUACUCGCGCCCAGUCCCCUAUUGAGUAAGGGAUGCAACAGCGUCUACCUCCAUAUUGGGCUAUGGCCCAUUCAUCCCUAAUUAUUCUUGAAUACAAUCACAAGCUGAACCCAACUUAUGUUGGAAAAGUGUAUGAGUUAAAUCCAACACCCCCUUGGGUGGAGUGUAUAGCUGAAAGAUAACUUCACACUAAGCUUCUCACACUCUAGGUUUGGGUUAGUAAUUAUGAUACCUAUUACAUCCUAUUAAAUAUGAACAAACAACUCAUGCUUAUAUUAAUUAGAUGUAAUUGUACAAGAAGUAGAAUAAUAUUAUUUUACUAUUAUGAGAUUAUAUCUCUAUCCCUCCUACGUUGUAUGAAGUAGGUCAAGCCAAGUUAUAUAAAAGAGGAAUAAAAUAUAAAGAAAAGGGGUUCAGAACUUUAUACUCUGAGAAAAAAAACAAAUUUUAUAAUUUUAUAUCUUCUCCCCCCUCCUCUUUUUUAUCUUCAUAAAAAAAUUAUUAAUACUUUUAUUAAUAUCUUUUACUAAAUAAAAAUAUUUGGUGUUGAUUUGAUAUUUAAAGGGUCCCCAACCAACAGCUCAGGAAACCUUGUGUAGAUAUUUAUUUAUAAGAAAUUAACAUCCCUAAAGAAAUCUAUUAAAGAAGACAGUGAAUAAUAUGAAAAAAUAUCUAAAAAUAAUUCAUGCUAGAAUAUUUCCAGUGAUUUUUGGAAACCCAACACUUCCAAUACACAAUUAUUCUCCCUUUCCUUUUCCUAUCCUUUGCCUGAAGUUGUUUGUAGUGGAAUAGAGAGCUCUCAUUCAACCUUGUUGCUUCCUUUUUUUUUUUUUAAGAUUAACGUGUCCAGGCUAGCUUGCGCGUACCUCAACUAAUCCCACGGGCCUUGAAGUUAACGAUCAUGUAAGCCUCCAGUGGCCAUUAUAUGAGCAACCUAGGGUUCGAAUCUGAGACCAUAAAAAAAAUAAAUCUUUUGAUCCCAAGCUUUUAUCAAUGGGUCACCAGUAGCUUGUUGCUUCCUUUAAUUAUAUGGAGUACUGGUUAAACACUAGAUCGACACCCUUUUUAGCCACAAAGCUUUUCACUUUUCCUGUAGCAAAUUCUUAAUUGUGAAGCAAUAGGUUUUUGGAGGGGGAUUUCCACUCCAAGGUUUAAGCAAGUAUCGCUGUUGUUAUUUAUUUAAAAAUAUAUUUUUUAAAAAAAUUAUUUUUAAUAUUAAUACUUUAAAAUAAUUUAAAAAAAAAUAUUAUUUUUUCUUAGGUUUGGAGAACUGAGUUUGGGGUAACCUUGGUGGUGGUUUUUUUUUUAAAAUAAAGAAAUUCAAUUCAGUUGCUAACUUGUAAUAAUCAUCGAGGAAUUCAGUCUUAUGGUCUUGUCAGAUAGCACAAAAGUCAAAGACUCCUCCUUCCUUCUCCACUAAGACUUCAUGGUUUUGUACUGUUUACUUUAGGCAACCGAUUUCUUUACCCUCUCAUUCGCCAGUAUUCAGAGUCUUUUCUCAGUGAGAUAGAAAAUAUAAAGACAAUUUAUUAAAAACAUACUUUAGUUUUAGCACAGAAACAGCUCGUCUCCUAAGAUUUUUAUUUGCUAUACUUUUCACCUUAUUAUUUAUACAAUUAAUUUCAACUUACAUGCUAUAGUUUAAUUCCGUUAGUAAAUAAUAAUAAUAAUAAUGAUGAUAAUAAUAAAUAACAUAUACUAAGAUAAAUAUAUAAAAUAGUUUAUAAAUAUUUAAAAGUUUUAUCCAGAUAAUAAAUACAAUACAAGUAUUAAAAAAUACAAUCGCGAAUAUUUAUUAUGCGUUAUGACUUAAAACGCACCAAACACAACCUUGGCUUAAAGUCACCAAACCACAAACACACAUAGAGAGUGUUUGGGAGAGUGGUAGCAGUUGCUUUUCAAAUAGCUUUUCGUGCCAAAAAACAUAUUAAUAAUAUUUUUUUAUUUUUUAAAAAUCAUUUUUGAUAUCAGUACAUCAAAACGAUUUAAAAAAUAUAAACCGUAUUUAAUUUUAAUAAAAAAAAAUUAAAAAUUUACAAAAAAACAAGUUUCACUGCAGUGCCAAACGGCACCUAUAGAGGAAUGCAUAAAGACGUCGUCUUUGCCCCCCUCACUCUAACCAAGCAAAGCAAAGCAAAGCACAGCAUAGAUAUCAAAACCACAUCAUCACCCUCUAAAUCUCCGCUACCAAAACCACCGUGAUUAUCGGAGAUAUAUGUCAGCAAUGGACGGAGGAGGAGGACCGUAUGUGAAUGCGAAGACAUCAGUUUGGUGGGACAUAGAGAACUGCGCUGUACCGAGAGGCUGUGACCCUCAUGCCAUAGCACGAAACAUAAGCUCAGCUCUUGUCGAGAUGAAUUAUUUUGGUCCUGUCUCUAUUUCCGCUUAUGGUGACACUCAUGGUAUCAACUCAACAGCUCAACAGGCUCUUUCUAGCACUGGGAUUGCUCUCAAUCAUGUCCCUGAAGGUAUGUUGGUAUUACUUGUACCUUUUGAAGUCUUUGCUUCAUGGGGUGCUUGGUUUUUGGUGUAUUAGUCCAGAAAGAUUGGAUCGUGGUCACUAUUUAAUUUGGCUUUUCUUGGUGUUGUUAUGAUUGAUUUUGUGACGGGGUUAUGCAACUUGUGUAACAGACUGAAUUGACUGAAAUAGAAAGAUUGUUUUUGAAUAUUGAAGUCUUUUUGUGCAGUUUGUGUUAUCCUGUAGGAGAGUUGAUGUUCAUGAUUUUAUAUGUUCAUGAUGAACAGGUGUCAAGGAUGCAAGUGACAAGAAGAUUCUUGUUGAUAUGUUGUUCUGGGCGGUGGACAAUCCUGCGCCAGCAAAUUACUUGUUGAUUUCCGGUGAUCGAGACUUCUCCAGCGCUCUUCACCAGCUGAGAAUGAGGAGAUACAAUAUUCUCCUAGCACAGCCCAAGACAGCAUCCGUACCCCUUGUUGCGGCCGCAAAGAAUGUGUGGCUUUGGACGAGUCUCUUGGCUGGAGGAAGGCCACUCCCUGAAGGUGAAUCACAACAACUCCGUAGCAAAAACUACACGUCCAGUCCAGGCACGGCACAGAUUCCAGGGUCUGGUGCAGCUCAAAUGAAGGAACCAGUAGAUUCCUAUUCUGGGAAACCGUAUGUGGCAAAUCAGAAGUCUCCUUCCACAUCAAGGGGUGCUAGAGGGAGAGCGAAUACAAUCCAAAGAAACCCGAGUCAAUGGAAUGACACCACCCACAUCAAUGGCAACUACCAAAAUCAUUAUACACAGCAAUUAUGGCCAAACAAUCCUGGUAUGCGACCUGAAUUUGCAGCAGGUGGUUUCUAUCCUCCCCAUCCUAAUCUUCAUCCUCCAAUGCCUGCGAGACCCAAUGGAACUAGCUUUACCUCUGCACCAUAUACAAGUGCACCUGAUAUUGGUAUUCUGAACAUUCCCGGACACCCCGUCAACUUUAACCCUCAACGACGAAAUCCAGAGCUAAAACAUGAUCCCAAGAAGAAACUUCCCAGAUCUGUAAGCUUAAGUAACUCGCAAAAUGGAAACAUGGCACAUAACUCUCCAUCAGUUUACCGGGACGAGAAGCCAAACCAUAGGUACCCUGGUGGUCCAGAAUUUCCGCCAUCAUCCUCACAUGCAAUGGGAGCCAGUGUUGCUCCAGGGAGUGAUAAAAAAUACAUAUUUUAUUCUUAUUGAAUAUUUAUAUACAGGUUUUUUUAUAUUAGAUUCAUGUAUAACUAUUUUUAAAUAAUUGCUAAUAUUAUUAUAAGAAGUUAUAAUCUUAUUUACACAGUAUGACAUAAUUAGGUGAUUUCUUAAAGUGUUAUCAUAGUUAUUUAUUUUAAAAUAUAAAAAAUAAAAAAACUUAAUAAAAAAAAGUGAAAAGCAAAAAGAAUCAAGAUCUAAUAUACCUAGUUUUUUUUUUAAUAAAAGAUCAUAAAUAUCCUAAAAAAACUUUAAUUUUUCAUAAACAUCGCACUGUAUAGUAAAGAAACCUAGCUCUUUUAUUUUAUUUUUAAUUUAAUAAAAUAAAGUGUCGUGGCCUUGGCUUUGCACGUUGAGCAGCCUCCGAAGGACUAAAACAAAGUCAAGUUCCGUCCCUUUUUGGUUUUUUGUUUUCUUUUUUAUUACCCUUUUGCUUCCUGAGAAGGAGACGCGAGUUUUCCUUCGCUGUUAAGACUAACAAUUUCUUUCCCAAACCUUACCCCUCCAUUUGCCAACGUUCAGAUUCUUUCCCCUUCUUAGUUAAUAAGCUACAGGGAUAAUUAAGUAAAUUGCAAUGUAGGAUAUUAGCCAAUCAAAAUGGAGCAAGUAAGAAUGGAAAGCAGGACCUUCUACCCUUCUUAUUCCCCGUCAACGCCAAACAUUGCCCAAGACUUCUUCUUCUCUUGUGUCGACAUGGCAUAUGAUGAUUGGUAACUCAUACAUGUCAAAACAUGAUUCAUUGGUUUCUUAGACAGAAAGUCAUCAUGGGUCAUCCAUCCACGCAUGAUAAUCUAACAAAUACCACGAGCACAACACUUGGGAGUUGAGUUGUUUUUAUUUUUAUUUAUUUUUUAAAUUAUUAAAUUAAUAUUUUUGAAUAUAUUUUUAAAUAAAAAAAACCUCCACUUCACAAUGUUAAAUAGACUUAAAACCUUUAACCUAAUGUAUAUCUUGAUAGGUUCAUAUUAAUGUAAUGUAUUUAAUGAAAUAAUUUCUUUUAAAUACGGACUUUUUUUAGAAAUAUAGAAGAUGGAAUAAACUUUUUAUUUAUUUAUGUACAUUGUCUUAAGAAACAUGCAUUUGUUUUUUAAUCAAGAGUGUUGUUUUUUCUUGACAAAAGAAUGCAAGAUGAUUAAAAUAAAUAUUUGUGAAAAUCUUAAAUUAUUAAAACGAAUAUCUAAUGAUUUAAAUCUAGGAGAGAAAGUAUUUCUUGAGGUGAAACUCCUAUUUUUUACUCAUUUUAAAUCCCAAGAACUUGAGGUCGACGAGCAGUUUUUGUGCUUACUGCAGGUAUUUCAGCUCCAAGCAAGUUUGCCUUCACCAUCAAGAGUUCCACCACCGGACAAAUCAAAGCCAUAUGUUCACACUCAAUUGAAAAUGAACUUUUUAUAAUUCUUAAGAAAAAACAAGUGGAGUCAUUUUCAAUCCACGCACAAUUCUACCUAAUUUCCGUUAUCUUCCUGAUGGAUCAUGGUUUCUAUACACCAACCCCAUUUAAAAAGACAUUGCAUGAACUCACAGCUCAAAAUAGAACUAUGUUUUUUAUGGUAUCCAACCUUACAUUCUUAGAUUGGGUCAUGACACGCCCGUGCCUAGCCUCCUCUUGAGUUAGGGAUGCAACAACGUUCAUCUUUACAUUGGGAUGUGGCGCGUUUGUCCCUAAUCAUUCUUGAAUAUAAUCACAAGCUGAACCCAACUCCUACUGGAAAAGUGUGUGAGUUGAACCCAACGCCCCUCAGGUAGACUGCAUGUAGCUGAAAAAUAACUCCACACCGAGCCUCUCAUAUUUUGGGUUUGGGUUAGUAAUUACAAUACUUAUCACAUUCUAUUAAAUAUAAACAAGCAACCUAUACUUAUAGUAAUUAGAUGUGAUAGUACAAGAAAUAGAAUAAUAUUAUUUUAUUGUUAUGAGAUUAUAUUUUUAUCUUUCCUACGUUGUAUGAAGCAGGUCAAGUCAAGUAAUAUAAAAGAUGAGUGAAAUAUAUAGAAAGGGGUUCAGAACCUUAUACUCGGAGACAAAAACACAUUCUCUUCGUCUUCCUCCUUAAUUCUACAUUCUCUCCCCCUUCCUUUUUUUUAUCUUCAUAAAAACUUAUUAAUACUUUUAUUAAUAUUUUUUGCUAUAUAAAAAUACAUGGUACUGACUUGAUCUUCAGAGAAUCCCUCGCCAACACCUCAAGAAACUUUGUGUAGAUAUUUAUUGAAGAAGAGAUUAACAUCCUUGAGAAGAUCUAUUAAAAAGAAAACCAAUAUAAUCUUGAAGUGAAGAUUGUAAAACACACUGUGAAUAAUAUAAAAGGAUUUUUAAAAAUAAUUUAUUCCAUAAUAUUUCAGUAAUUUUUGUAACCUCAUCACUUCCUAUCCAUAAUUAUUAUCCCUUUCUAUUUCCUAUCCUUUGCCUGAAGCUGUUUGUAGUGGAAUAGAGAGCAAGGGUAGAUGAGGGAUUCCAAGCUCUCAUUCGCCCUUGUUGCUUCCUUUAAUUAUAUGGAGUGCUGGCUAAACACUCGACCGACCCCCUUUUAGCCACAGAGCUUUUCACUUUUCCUGUAGCAAAAUCUUAAUUGUGAAGAAAUAGGUUUCUGGAGGGAUUUCAACUCCGUGGUUUAAGCGAGUAUCGCUGUUGUUAUUUUUUUAAAAAAAUUAUUUAGAGAUAUAUUAAAAUAAUAUAUUUUUUUUAAAGUUAUUUUAAAUAUUAAUACUUUAAAAUGAUGGAAAAAAAAUUAAGUAAAAAAAAAUAUUUUUUUCAAAUAUAAUUUAUAUUGUAAUAAUCAUAAAGGAAUUUAUACAGAUAAUUCUCCACCUCUUUGACAACGAAAGUGAACUUGGAAAAUCAAUCCAGCGAUUUAGGAAAAUAGUAUGCAUGCAUGACAAGGUUGGUUGAUGGACGAGACAUCUUUGACCGACAGGAAGAUGUAAGAUAGCAGUCUUAUGGUCUUGUCAGAUAGCACAAAAGUCCAAGACUCCUCCUUCCUUCUCCACUAAGACUUCAUUGUUUUGUGCUGUUUACUUUAGCCAACCGAUUUCUUUACCCUCUCAUUUGCCAACAAUUCAGAUUCUUUUCUCAGGGGAAUGCAUAAAGACGUCGUCUUUGCUCCCCCCUCUCUCUAACCAAGCAAAGCAAAGCAAAGCACAGCAUAGAUAUCAAAACCACAUCAUCACCCUCUAAAUCUCCGCCACCAAAACCACCGUGAUUAUCGGAGAUCUUCGUCAGAAAUGGACGGAGGAGGAGGAGAAGACGCACAUUAUGUGCGUGCCAAGACAUCAGUUUGGUGGGACAUAGAGAACUGCGCUGUACCG
RNAcentral lists this long non-coding RNA (10981 nucleotides) under Populus tremula. Its description in RNAcentral is "long non-coding RNA (PTRE_LNC000875)". The record is from RNAcentral. Lineage: Eukaryota; Viridiplantae; Streptophyta; Magnoliopsida; Malpighiales; Salicaceae.